GUGGGGAGCAACCUCAGCUUCCUCUCCUGCUCUGAAUCUGUCAGAGUGCAGGGAGACAGGAGGCGCCACAAGGGGCCUUUUGUCAUAUAAGCAUAUAUACUCAAUCAAAACAGCCCUUUUAGUGAAUAAAAUACUUUUUUUUAGAGCUUUGAUGGGUGAAGCUGAUGUGGUUUGUGCAUGAUGGUUUAGUCUGCUUUAUAGGUCUUCAAGGACUGGUAGCAGGCCUAGCAGAGUCAGGCUGUCUGCAGCUUUCCAGCUGCUCCUCCUGAGCCAGAGUGGAGAGUCCCCCUCACCCCCGCUGCAAAGACACAGACAAAAGGCCUGGUUUGCCUGCUGAACACUGCCCCCUGUCUCCAUCCGUCCCUUCAUGCACGACCGUAGUGACGGCGGCAGGGUAUUCUGGACAGAACAAGGCCUGGACUGGGACUAGGAAAAAAAAAAAAAA
Long non-coding RNA from Oryzias melastigma (Indian medaka), 445 nucleotides. RefSeq lists it as uncharacterized. The record is from RefSeq and is a predicted model, not a curated record. The transcript is spliced from 2 exons. Lineage: Eukaryota; Metazoa; Chordata; Actinopteri; Beloniformes; Adrianichthyidae.